This 304-nucleotide ribosomal RNA is filed under the name uncultured bacterium. Its description in RNAcentral is "partial 16S ribosomal RNA". It matches the Rfam family "Bacterial small subunit ribosomal RNA", at positions 509 to 807 of the family's 1533-position model. The record is from RNAcentral.
CAGCAGCCGCCACGGUAAUACGUAGGUGGCAAGCGUUGUCCGGAAUUAUUGGGCGUAAAGGGCUCGCAGGCGGUUUCUUAAGUCUGAUGUGAAAGCCCCCGGCUCAACCGGGGAGGGUCAUUGGAAACUGGGAAACUUGAGUGCAGAAGAGGAGAGUGGAAUUCCACGUGUAGCGGUGAAAUGCGUAGAGAUGUGGAGGAACACCAGUGGCGAAGGCGACUCUCUGGUCUGUAACUGACGCUGAGGAGCGAAAGCGUGGGGAGCGAACAGGAUUAGAUACCCCAGUAGUCCCUGUCUCUUAUAC